AACGAACGCUGGCGGCAUGCCUAACACAUGCAAGUCGAACGAGACCUUCGGGUCUAGUGGCGCACGGGUGCGUAACGCGUGGGAACCUGCCCUUAGGUUCGGAAUAACUCCCCGAAAGGGGUGCUAAUACCGGAUAAUGUCUUCGGACCAAAGAUUUAUCGCCUUUGGAUGGGCCCGCGUUGGAUUAGCUAGUUGGUAGGGUAAAAGCCUACCAAGGCGACGAUCCAUAGCUGGUCUGAGAGGAUGAUCAGCCACACUGGGACUGAGACACGGCCCAGACCCCUACGGGGGGGAGGAGGGGGGAAAUUUGGAAAAGGGGCGAAAGCCGGAUCCAGGAAUGCCGGGGUGGGGAUGAAGGCCUUAGGGUUUGAAAGCCCUUUUACCCGGGAAGAAAAUGAACGGACCGGGGGAAUAAGCCCCGGCUAACUCCG
Molecule: ribosomal RNA, 431 nt
Filed under: uncultured bacterium
Lineage: Bacteria
Description: partial 16S ribosomal RNA
Rfam family: Bacterial small subunit ribosomal RNA
Source: RNAcentral